Molecule: long non-coding RNA, 405 nt
Filed under: Sus scrofa (pig)
Lineage: Eukaryota; Metazoa; Chordata; Mammalia; Artiodactyla; Suidae
Description: lncRNA (ENSSSCG00005039407.1)
Source: RNAcentral
AUGGCUAUGUCCCAGAUCAGCAGCCCUGUGUUUAUGUCUGAUUACUCUUAUUUGUACAGAGAUGAAAAUAAUAUUUUCCCCAUUCUCCUUAACAGUUUCGCAAGCUGGCAUUUUUGUGGGUGGUUGUGUGAUGUCGCUGAAUGUCAGAGCCCUGGAAACACAGAUGCUACUGCUACUGUUUCAUCUCUAGGAUACCAAACACCAGAGAUGGGGACAGCAAUAUCCACUUUCCCGAGUAAAAGGAGGCCAAAUGAGGUAACAACAUAUGUGAUGUACUUCAAGCCGGAGCCCUGGACGCAUGUAAAACCAAUAAGAUUAAAUUUCCUGUCCCCUGAAGCUUCCAGCUUCCGUGCCUCCUGUCUCCUGCACCCGGCUCAGAAACCAGAGUGGCUUUCCUUGAAGUGA